Molecule: long non-coding RNA, 403 nt
Filed under: Homo sapiens (human)
Lineage: Eukaryota; Metazoa; Chordata; Mammalia; Primates; Hominidae
Description: HSALNT0309512
Source: RNAcentral
AUUUCAGACUCCAGGGACAGCUGUCACCCACCAAAAACUGGGGUCACAAGGGGUCCAUCUGGCAGUGGCUGGAGCCUUGCAAGGGCACAGCUGCUGCUGCGGAUGUACUGUUCCCCUCCUGCCUGGGAACCCUGGCCUUGCUGGGGUCACCUCCUCCACAACUUGGACUGGAGCAGAAGGACAAAGAAUGGAUCUGAGGACAAGCUGGCCCAGGACCAGAACUACCAUCAUCAAAGAGGGGAUGCUGACCAAACAGAACAAUUCAUUCCAGCGAUCAAAAAGGAGAUACUUUAAGCUUCGAGGGCGAACGCUUUACUAUGCCAAAACGGCAAAGAAGAAUUUGUUUUAGCCAGGACCUUCCCCCUCCAUGUGCUCGCUGGAGGAACAAGCCAGGAGGACACGG